This 253-nucleotide ribosomal RNA is filed under the name uncultured bacterium. RNAcentral's name for it is "partial 16S ribosomal RNA". It matches the Rfam family "Bacterial small subunit ribosomal RNA", at positions 524 to 776 of the family's 1533-position model. The record is from RNAcentral.
UACAGAGGUCCCGAGCGUUGUUCGGAUUCACUGGGCGUAAAGGGCGCGUAGGCGGCUGGGGAAGUCCGUGGUGAAAGCUCGUGGCUCAACUGCGAGUCGGCCAUGGAUACUCCUCGGCUCGAGCACUGUAGAGGCAGGUGGAAUUCCCGGUGUAGUGGUGAAAUACGUAGAGAUUGGGACGAACACCAGUGGCGAAGGCGGCUAUCUGGACGGUUACUGACGCUAAGACUCGAAAGCGUGGGGAGCAAACAGG